GACACUGCGCCGAAAAUGUACCGGGGCUAAACAUAUUACCGAAGCUGUGGAUUGUCCUUUGGACAAUGGUAGGAGAGCGUUCUAAGGGCGUUGAAGCAUGAUCGUAAGGACAUGUGGAGCGCUUAGAAGUGAGAAUGCCGGUGUGAGUAGCGAAAGACGGGUGAGAAUCCCGUCCACCGAUUGACUAAGGUUUCCAGAGGAAGGCUCGUCCGCUCUGGGUUAGUCGGGUCCUAAGCUGAGGCCGACAGGCGUAGGCGAUGGAUAACAGGUUGAUAUUCCUGUACCACCUAUAAUCGUUUUAAUCGAUGGGGGGACGCAGUAGGAUAGGCGAAGCGUGCGAUUGGAUUGCACGUCUAAGCAGUAAGGCUGAGUAUUAGGCAAAUCCGGUACUCGUUAAGGCUGAGCUGUGAUGGGGAGAAGACAUUGUGUCUUCGAGUCGUUGAUUUCACACUGCCGAGAAAAGCCUCUAGAUAGAAAAUAGGUGCCCGUACCGCAAACCGACACAG
This 506-nucleotide ribosomal RNA is filed under the name Staphylococcus aureus. RNAcentral's name for it is "partial 23S ribosomal RNA". It matches the Rfam family "Bacterial large subunit ribosomal RNA", at positions 1155 to 1662 of the family's 2925-position model. The record is from RNAcentral. Lineage: Bacteria; Bacillati; Bacillota; Bacilli; Caryophanales; Staphylococcaceae.